UAGGUUGAGAAGGCAGUGACCGUAGCGGUGGAGAAGGAUGAGGUAGCAAACACUGUUUUUAUAUAAAUAUAUAUUAAUUGGGGUAGCCCACAAAAUAUUGGGACAUAUAAAAGAUACUCGCAGAGUAUCUGUUGACAUUAUAGUUGCGCAGGAACUUUGUUGACUCUAGAGAACCUCGGGCAAAUCGGACAUCCCCGUGGCGGCGACUUUGCAUGCGAAUGUUAUCCAUAUCAACUUUCAAUGCCAGUUUCUGCGCUUACCGUGGUGACCACAGUAACAUGGAAUCAGGGUUCCAUUCCGUACAGAGACCCUGAGAAACGGCUACCACAUGCAAGGAAGGCAGCAGGCGUCCAAAUGACCCACUCCCGACACGAGAAGGUAGUGACGACAAAUAACAAUACAGGACUCUUUAGAGGCCCUGUAAUUGUAAUGAGUCCACUUGAAAUCCUUUAACUCUGAUCAAUUGGAGGGAAGUCUGGUGCAGAGCCACUGACUCGUGCGUGCUGCAGCUGAAACUCCACU
This 522-nucleotide ribosomal RNA is filed under the name Pelobates cultripes (western spadefoot toad). It matches the Rfam family "Eukaryotic small subunit ribosomal RNA", at positions 168 to 590 of the family's 1831-position model. Lineage: Eukaryota; Metazoa; Chordata; Amphibia; Anura; Pelobatidae. The record is from RNAcentral.